AGUCGAGCGAGUCUGCCUUGAAGAUCGGAGUGCUUGCACUCUGUGAAACAAGAUACAGGCUAGCGGCGGACGGGUGAGUAACACGUGGGUAACCUGCCCAAGAGAUCGGGAUAACACCUGGAAACAGAUGCUAAUACCGGAUAACAACAGAUGAUGCCUAUCAACUGUUUAAAAGAUGGUUCUGCUAUCACUCUUGGAUGGACCUGCGGUGCAUUAGCUAGUUGGUAGGGUAACGGCCUACCAAGGCGAUGAUGCAUAGCCGAGUUGAGAGACUGAUCGGCCACAUUGGGACUGAGACACGGCCCAAACUCCUACGGGAGGCAGCAGUAGGGAAUCUUCCACAAUGGACGCAAGUCUGAUGGAGCAACGCCGCGUGAGUGAAGAAGGGUUUCGGCUCGUAAAGCUCUGUUGUUGGUGAAGAAGGACAGGGGUAGUAACUGACCUUUGUUUGACGGUAAUCAAUUAGAAAGUCACGGCUAACUACGUGCCAGCAGCCGCGGUAAUACGUAGGUGGCAAGCGUUGUCCGGAUUUAUUGGGCGUAAAGCGAGUGCAGGCGGCUCGAUAAGUCUGAUGUGAAAGCCUUCGGCUCAACCGGAGAAUUGCAUCAGAAACUGUCGAGCUUGAGUACAGAAGAGGAGAGUGGAACUCCAUGUGUAGCGGUGAAAUGCGUAGAUAUAUGGAAGAACACCGGUGGCGAAGGCGGCUCUCUGGUCUGUUACUGACGCUGAGGCUCGAAAGCAUGGGUAGCGAACAGGAUUAGAUACCCUGGUAGUCCAUGCCGUANACGAUGAGUGCUAAGUGUUGGGAGGUUUCCGCCUCUCAGUGCUGCAGCUAACGCAUUAAGCAC
Molecule: ribosomal RNA, 848 nt
Filed under: uncultured bacterium
Lineage: Bacteria
Description: bacterial SSU rRNA
Rfam family: Bacterial small subunit ribosomal RNA
Source: RNAcentral